GUUUCUGUAGUGUAGUGGUUCUCACAUUUGCCUAACAUACAAAAGGCCCCUAGUUCAAAACUGGACAGAAACA
This 73-nucleotide transfer RNA is filed under the name Chrysemys picta bellii (western painted turtle). RNAcentral's name for it is "tRNA-Val (AAC) (tRNA-Val-AAC-19-1)". It matches the Rfam family "tRNA". From Rfam's summary of the family: Transfer RNA (tRNA) molecules are approximately 80 nucleotides in length. Their secondary structure includes four short double-helical elements and three loops (D, anti-codon, and T loops). The record is from Rfam by way of RNAcentral. Lineage: Eukaryota; Metazoa; Chordata; Testudines; Emydidae.